CUGGCUCAGAUUGAACGCUGGCGGCAUGCUUUACACAUGCAAGUCGAACGGCAGCACGGGUGCUUGCACCUGGUGGCGAGUGGCGGACGGGUGAGUAAUACAUCGGAACGUAUCCUAAAGUGGGGGAUAACGCAUCGAAAGAUGUGCUAAUACCGCAUACACUCUGAGGAGGAAAGUAGGGGAUCGAAAGACCUUAUGCUUUUGGAGCGGCCGAUGUCUGAUUAGCUAGUUGGUAAGGUAAUGGCUUACCAAGGCAACGAUCGGAGUAGGUUGGUCUGAGAGGACGACCAGCCACACUGGGACUGAGACACGGCCCAGACUCCUACGGGAGGCAGCAGUGGGGAAUUUUGGACAAUGGGCGCAAGCCUGAUCCAGCAAUGCCGCGUGAGUGAAGAAGGCCUGG
This 403-nucleotide ribosomal RNA is filed under the name uncultured bacterium. Its description in RNAcentral is "bacterial SSU rRNA". It matches the Rfam family "Bacterial small subunit ribosomal RNA", at positions 19 to 419 of the family's 1533-position model. The record is from RNAcentral.